GGUAGUACACCCAUAAACCAACACAUUAUGGCGGUCCUUAAAUAGUAGAGAAACUCGCUUUAUAAUCGAAAAUACUCGCUAAAUUUCACUACAGCAUAAAAGCCUAUAUACCGCCGCUUACAGGAACAACUUCAAUCACUCAUCCCUCUCCUUUAAUCAACGAUAAUCCAGGUCAAGGUGUAGCCAACGCCGUAGAAAAAGUAAGUUACACUAAAAACAAUUUAAGAACAUAAUAAAAUUUAAAUAGAAAAAGAAUUUACAUGUACACUAAAAUUAAAAACUUUAAUAGAAUAAUAUAAC
RNAcentral lists this ribosomal RNA (300 nucleotides) under Pholcus khaolek. Its description in RNAcentral is "partial 12S ribosomal RNA". The record is from RNAcentral. Lineage: Eukaryota; Metazoa; Arthropoda; Arachnida; Araneae; Pholcidae.